This 428-nucleotide ribosomal RNA is filed under the name uncultured bacterium. Its description in RNAcentral is "partial 16S ribosomal RNA". It matches the Rfam family "Bacterial small subunit ribosomal RNA", at positions 354 to 796 of the family's 1533-position model. The record is from RNAcentral.
GUGGGGAAUAUUAGGCAAUGGGCGAAAGCCUGACCUAGCAACGCCGCGUGAAGGAAGAAGGCCUUCGGGUUGUAAACUUCUUUUAUGAGGGACGAAGGACGUGACGGUACCUCAUGAAUAAGCCACGGCUAACUACGUGCCAGCAGCCGCGGUAAUACGUAGGUGGCGAGCGUUGUCCGGAUUUACUGGGUGUAAAGGGCGCGUAGGCGGACUGGCAAGUCAGAUGUGAAAUACAGGGGCUCAACCCCUGAACUGCCUUUGAAACUCCCAGUCUUGAGUUCGAGAGAGGUGAGUGGAAUUCCGAGUGUAGAGGUGAAAUUCGUAGAUAUUCGGAGGAACACCAGUGGCGAAGGCGGCUCACUGGCUCGAUACUGACGCUGAGGUGCGAAAGCGUGGGGAGCAAACAGGAUUAGAUACCCUUGUAGUCC